Molecule: unclassified non-coding RNA, 210 nt
Filed under: soil metagenome
Description: partial contains 5.8S ribosomal RNA, internal transcribed spacer 2, and large subunit ribosomal RNA
Source: RNAcentral
AACCUAGCACACCUGCGGUGUGUACCUGCGGAAGGAUCAUUACCGAGUUUACAACUCUCAAACCCCUGUGAACAUACCUAUACGUUGCCUCGGCGGAUCAGCCCGCGCCCCGUAAAAAGGGACGGCCCGCCCGAGGACCCCUAAACUCUGUUUUUAGUGGAACUUCUGAGUAAAACAAACAAAUAAAUCAAAACUUUUAACAAUGGAUCU